Molecule: ribosomal RNA, 253 nt
Filed under: uncultured bacterium
Lineage: Bacteria
Description: partial 16S ribosomal RNA
Rfam family: Bacterial small subunit ribosomal RNA
Source: RNAcentral
UACGUAGGGUGCAAGCGUUGUCCGGAAUUAUUGGGCGUAAAGAGCUCGUAGGCGGUCUGUCGCGUCUGCUGUGAAAACUCAGGGCUUAACCCUGAGCUUGCAGUGGGUACGGGCAGACUAGAGUGCGGUAGGGGAGACUGGAAUUCCUGGUGUAGCGGUGAAAUGUGCAGAUAUCAGGAGGAACACCGGUGGCGAAGGCGGGUCUCUGGGCCGUAACUGACGCUGAGGAGCGAAAGCAUGGGGAGCGAACAGG